This 2903-nucleotide ribosomal RNA is filed under the name Escherichia coli NCCP 15653. RNAcentral's name for it is "bacterial LSU rRNA". It matches the Rfam family "Bacterial large subunit ribosomal RNA". The record is from RNAcentral. Lineage: Bacteria; Pseudomonadati; Pseudomonadota; Gammaproteobacteria; Enterobacterales; Enterobacteriaceae.
UUAAGCGACUAAGCGUACACGGUGGAUGCCCUGGCAGUCAGAGGCGAUGAAGGACGUGCUAAUCUGCGAUAAGCGUCGGUAAGGUGAUAUGAACCGUUAUAACCGGCGAUUUCCGAAUGGGGAAACCCAGUGUGAUUCGUCACACUAUCAUUAACUGAAUCCAUAGGUUAAUGAGGCGAACCGGGGGAACUGAAACAUCUAAGUACCCCGAGGAAAAGAAAUCAACCGAGAUUCCCCCAGUAGCGGCGAGCGAACGGGGAGCAGCCCAGAGCCUGAAUCAGUGUGUGUGUUAGUGGAAGCGUCUGGAAAGGCGCGCGAUACAGGGUGACAGCCCCGUACACAAAAAUGCACAUACUGUGAGCUCGAUGAGUAGGGCGGGACACGUGGUAUCCUGUCUGAAUAUGGGGGGACCAUCCUCCAAGGCUAAAUACUCCUGACUGACCGAUAGUGAACCAGUACCGUGAGGGAAAGGCGAAAAGAACCCCGGCGAGGGGAGUGAAAAAGAACCUGAAACCGUGUACGUACAAGCAGUGGGAGCACGCUUCGGCGUGUGACUGCGUACCUUUUGUAUAAUGGGUCAGCGACUUAUAUUCUGUAGCAAGGUUAACCGAAUAGGGGAGCCGAAGGGAAACCGAGUCUUAACUGGGCGUUAAGUUGCAGGGUAUAGACCCGAAACCCGGUGAUCUAGCCAUGGGCAGGUUGAAGGUUGGGUAACACUAACUGGAGGACCGAACCGACUAAUGUUGAAAAAUUAGCGGAUGACUUGUGGCUGGGGGUGAAAGGCCAAUCAAACCGGGAGAUAGCUGGUUCUCCCCGAAAGCUAUUUAGGUAGCGCCUCGUGAAUUCAUCUCCGGGGGUAGAGCACUGUUUCGGCAAGGGGGUCAUCCCGACUUACCAACCCGAUGCAAACUGCGAAUACCGGAGAAUGUUAUCACGGGAGACACACGGCGGGUGCUAACGUCCGUCGUGAAGAGGGAAACAACCCAGACCGCCAGCUAAGGUCCCAAAGUCAUGGUUAAGUGGGAAACGAUGUGGGAAGGCCCAGACAGCCAGGAUGUUGGCUUAGAAGCAGCCAUCAUUUAAAGAAAGCGUAAUAGCUCACUGGUCGAGUCGGCCUGCGCGGAAGAUGUAACGGGGCUAAACCAUGCACCGAAGCUGCGGCAGCGACACUAUGUGUUGUUGGGUAGGGGAGCGUUCUGUAAGCCUGUGAAGGUGUACUGUGAGGUAUGCUGGAGGUAUCAGAAGUGCGAAUGCUGACAUAAGUAACGAUAAAGCGGGUGAAAAGCCCGCUCGCCGGAAGACCAAGGGUUCCUGUCCAACGUUAAUCGGGGCAGGGUGAGUCGACCCCUAAGGCGAGGCCGAAAGGCGUAGUCGAUGGGAAACAGGUUAAUAUUCCUGUACUUGGUGUUACUGCGAAGGGGGGACGGAGAAGGCUAUGUUGGCCGGGCGACGGUUGUCCCGGUUUAAGCGUGUAGGCUGGUUUUCCAGGCAAAUCCGGAAAAUCAAGGCUGAGGCGUGAUGACGAGGCACUACGGUGCUGAAGCAACAAAUGCCCUGCUUCCAGGAAAAGCCUCUAAGCAUCAGGUAACAUCAAAUCGUACCCCAAACCGACACAGGUGGUCAGGUAGAGAAUACCAAGGCGCUUGAGAGAACUCGGGUGAAGGAACUAGGCAAAAUGGUGCCGUAACUUCGGGAGAAGGCACGCUGAUAUGUAGGUGAAGCGACUUGCUCGUGGAGCUGAAAUCAGUCGAAGAUACCAGCUGGCUGCAACUGUUUAUUAAAAACACAGCACUGUGCAAACACGAAAGUGGACGUAUACGGUGUGACGCCUGCCCGGUGCCGGAAGGUUAAUUGAUGGGGUUAGCGGUAACGCGAAGCUCUUGAUCGAAGCCCCGGUAAACGGCGGCCGUAACUAUAACGGUCCUAAGGUAGCGAAAUUCCUUGUCGGGUAAGUUCCGACCUGCACGAAUGGCGUAAUGAUGGCCAGGCUGUCUCCACCCGAGACUCAGUGAAAUUGAACUCGCUGUGAAGAUGCAGUGUACCCGCGGCAAGACGGAAAGACCCCGUGAACCUUUACUAUAGCUUGACACUGAACAUUGAGCCUUGAUGUGUAGGAUAGGUGGGAGGCUUUGAAGUGUGGACGCCAGUCUGCAUGGAGCCGACCUUGAAAUACCACCCUUUAAUGUUUGAUGUUCUAACGUUGGCCCGUGAUCCGGGUUGCGGACAGUGUCUGGUGGGUAGUUUGACUGGGGCGGUCUCCUCCUAAAGAGUAACGGAGGAGCACGAAGGUUGGCUAAUCCUGGUCGGACAUCAGGAGGUUAGUGCAAUGGCAUAAGCCAGCUUGACUGCGAGCGUGACGGCGCGAGCAGGUGCGAAAGCAGGUCAUAGUGAUCCGGUGGUUCUGAAUGGAAGGGCCAUCGCUCAACGGAUAAAAGGUACUCCGGGGAUAACAGGCUGAUACCGCCCAAGAGUUCAUAUCGACGGCGGUGUUUGGCACCUCGAUGUCGGCUCAUCACAUCCUGGGGCUGAAGUAGGUCCCAAGGGUAUGGCUGUUCGCCAUUUAAAGUGGUACGCGAGCUGGGUUUAGAACGUCGUGAGACAGUUCGGUCCCUAUCUGCCGUGGGCGCUGGAGAACUGAGGGGGGCUGCUCCUAGUACGAGAGGACCGGAGUGGACGCAUCACUGGUGUUCGGGUUGUCAUGCCAAUGGCACUGCCCGGUAGCUAAAUGCGGAAGAGAUAAGUGCUGAAAGCAUCUAAGCACGAAACUUGCCCCGAGAUGAGUUCUCCCUGACUCCCUGAGAGUCCUGAAGGAACGUUGAAGACGACGACGUUGAUAGGCCGGGUGUGUAAGCGCAGCGAUGCGUUGAGCUAACCGGUACUAAUGAACCGUGAGGCUUAACCUU